This 326-nucleotide long non-coding RNA is filed under the name Hordeum vulgare. Its description in RNAcentral is "long non-coding RNA (HVUL_LNC018352)". Lineage: Eukaryota; Viridiplantae; Streptophyta; Magnoliopsida; Poales; Poaceae. The record is from RNAcentral.
GCCCUUGGGGGCUACACAUUGCCGCUCAAGUUUACAUAGUCAGAUCUACAAAGUCCCUGCUCAAUAUUACAUAAUGACCCAGCCCUUGGGGGCUACAUCAUAUGAUGUUUUAUUUUCAAAGAAGAACAAUGUGGAAGUCCCGAGUCGCCGCAAGCAAUCGACCCGUCACUUGGGGGCUAUAUUAUUCAGAUCAUAAUUUCUAAAGUCCCAGGUUGCCGCAUGCAAGACAACCCGACACUUGGGGGCUACAACACUAAGUUGUUUCACGGAUCAUGAGGUUCAAAUUGAAGACCCGGCCCAUCACACAUUGAUGACCUGGCCCUUGG